This 724-nucleotide long non-coding RNA is filed under the name Pongo abelii (Sumatran orangutan). RNAcentral's name for it is "lincRNA". The record is from RNAcentral. Lineage: Eukaryota; Metazoa; Chordata; Mammalia; Primates; Hominidae.
GGGGUGGGAAUGGAGUGGGGAGAUCUGACUCUGCAGCCAUCCGUCACCCACGCCUGCUUGGACAUCGCCAGGCUCAGCUAGAGAAGGCAGAAAAAGUUCCUCCAACUCCUUCCCCAGGCACCUAUGCAGGCUCCACACUCCUGCCUGAACAGCUAUGAUUUUAAAAGCCAUCGAGUCACGAAGAAAAGUGUGCCAGUGUGUGCCGGAUUCAGUUUCCCCCAUGCACCGUUUUCCCCAGUCAGCCCUGCACCUUCCAAGAGGUAUGACCCGAAGGCACACCCUAGUCAGCUCAGGCCCCACAUUCCUGCAAAAAUCAGGCUCCAGGGCUCCCUCAUCGCAGCAUGGGUUCUGCAGGAAGCCCCAGUGCCAAGUGGCUUUCAGAACUGCCUCAGCUAGCAAAGUGGUGGCUAUUUCAGUGACCGACAAAAGCAGCUCCCCCAGCCUCCCUUGGUGUUUGUGGUCCCUUUUGUUCCAGCCAGGCACCAAGAGGAAAAUGCAGCAUCCGUUUGGAAACAAAGGCUCAGGCAGGCUCUCUCCAGUCUGAAAAGCCCACUUUCACUUGAGUUUCAGGUUACUGAGAGGUUAAGAAUUGCCAAAAAAGACCUGUACCUUCCCUCUGAUAUUCCCUGGGGUUAGUUCUUCUCUCCUCCUUCUGCCAAGAAACCACUGAGAAGUGUCUCAGAAGAGCUAAGGGCUGCCCCAGGUGGUUUUGUGGGAGGUGAGU